This 76-nucleotide transfer RNA is filed under the name Camelus bactrianus (Bactrian camel). It matches the Rfam family "tRNA". From Rfam's summary of the family: Transfer RNA (tRNA) molecules are approximately 80 nucleotides in length. Their secondary structure includes four short double-helical elements and three loops (D, anti-codon, and T loops). The record is from Rfam by way of RNAcentral. Lineage: Eukaryota; Metazoa; Chordata; Mammalia; Artiodactyla; Camelidae. RNAcentral also lists the same sequence under 2 other names.
GCAGGUAUAGCUCAAGUGGUAGAGCACAUGCUUGUAAACAUGCAUGAGGUCCUGGGUUUAAUCCCCAGUACCUCCU